Molecule: long non-coding RNA, 6799 nt
Filed under: Sus scrofa (pig)
Lineage: Eukaryota; Metazoa; Chordata; Mammalia; Artiodactyla; Suidae
Description: lncRNA (ENSSSCG00035024734.1)
Source: RNAcentral
UAACUGGAUCUCCUGUCUUACGCGCUACCUCUUUUGACUCAGGACCCUCGCAGGUGGGACAGACUGGAGGACCCACGCAAGGGGAGGGGCAGUGGGCGGCCCCCUGCAUCUCCAGGCCACGCCUUGGAAUGGGGUUGGCCCCGCCCAUUCCCAGGGCCUCUGGGAGGAAGAGGAGGAGGAGGCCCAGGACUGAGCGUCCACCGUGGUAAACAUCCUUCCCACGUUAUCUCGGAAUUUGCCAACCUACUUCCCUCAGGAAGCACCGUCUAGCAGCUUUGCAGGGAGUUUUGAAAACUCUAGAAACUCACAGGAAUUUCCCCAAGGCCUUACCACACCUGCCAGGGUCACGGGGAUGGAGACACCUCCGUGAAGCCAGGGCGCAGGCGUCUCCAGCCUGAAAAAAGGCAGUGUGAGUGUUUUGAGUCAUACCUACGUUGUUAAUGAUGGUCCUUAAUCACCGCGUGAACUUCUUUCAGGGCCCGGGUCACCUUGGGUAGAUAGCCUAAAUCUAAGCUAAUAUGCAUAUGAGCGCAUAUCAAACACCGUAAGCCCUGAAGGAAUCGAGCUCCGUUGUGAUUUUGGCUAGAGCUUCGCUGAGCUGGGUGAUAAGAGUUCCAUGCCUCCGUAUUACUCUGAGCACUGGGGUGAGAUGGGGUGUUCCAUGCUGCUGUGGUCACUUACGAUGCCUGAGCCUGUCCCUUCUGCUUUCAGAUCCACUGUGGAGGGGCCAGAGCACAUUUACAGAAGCCAUCUCUUUCUGGUUUCUUUCCUUCUUUUUAUUGAUUUUUAUUUUUUCCACUAUGGCUGGUUUACAGCGUUCUGUCAGUUUUCUCUGGCUUGUUUUGAUUGAACGUUUUGGAGUCAGGAUUCGAAGAGUGAUGCUUUUCUAAAGGGGAGCCUGUUUUGCCAUCCUGACCAGAGCCCCCAACUUCUUGAGUGGAUCGUAGCUCAAACCAGUGGAGUGAAAAUGAGCAGACAAGCAGGCACCUGGCUGCUCUUCCUCUUUGACACUUUCUGGCAAGUCCUCUUGCCUCUCAGCCUCCGUUUCCCCAUUGUUGUAGAAGCUGAAAUCAGCCUUUCCCACAGCCUCACCCUUGUUUUCUGCAAAUGCACGAGCUGGAUUAGCCUUCCGUGCUCUGAGCCCUCCAAUGGGCUGCACUGUGUGUUUCAGCUCUAACUGCUGGCAUUCUUCAGACAGUUCUGGACAAGCAGGGCCCACAGCCGUAGCUGGAGGUGAGAGGAGCAAGGCUGAUGGACCCUGCACAGGGCCAGCUCUUAGAUCCUCCAAAGAGAGCCUGGGGUGGGGGAAUGGCGACCCCAGCCAGGUAACUGUUUCAGCAUUACCUGAAAAGAUGUUACCUUGAUUUCCACACCAGCUGAGCUCUGGGAUAAUUAUAUUUUAAGCAACACGGAGCAUAAAACAGAUUCCCUUAGCAUCUGGAGAGCCAGUCGCACCCAGGCCUGCCCAGACUGGCCUUUCUCGUUGCAGGGUGUGGGAGAGCAGGGCUUCGCUGGUCCCUGGGGGCCUGCCCGGCCGGGAGCUGUUGCUCAGCUGUGGGAGGCACGCCAGUUCUCAGGUCUGUGAUGAGUGGUGUGGUGUCUGGCAAGGCCCUGGCCUGCGACUGAGUGUGACUAAUCAUGAAUCUUUUCAAUGACGCUGACACUUCAUCCUCUUUUCUCUCCUUCACCUGCUCUCUGGGCUGGAGUCGGCUGAUACAGGAGCAAAUUAGCCUCAUUCUGGAAAAGGCAGGGCAUGAUCUAGGACCCUGAAAGGUUCCUCGUGCUCCUGCCUGGAUGGUUUGCAGUCAGGGAAAUUAUCUGACUCAGGUGGGCUGACGGGGUAUUUUUUGUGGUUGUGCCUCCUGCUCGAUAGCAGGCAGCUUCUGAAGACAGGGCCCUGUCACCAUGGGCUAUUGACGAAUGGAGAUUUGACACCAGCCGAGGCAGUGUUGUUACUACUGCUCCCCGUAUGCUCCAGCCCAAACUGACAGCCCUCCCAUUUCCUCUUCAAAGACGACGUGUCACCAAGUAAUAUCGCCACCCACUCAAGGGGGACCUUAAUGCCCUGGACGCCUUAAUUGGGGGUGGAAGCCGAAAAGGGGGUGAUGACCUUUUAGCAGACUCAUCUCUCCCCCGCCACCCACUUCGUCGCUCGAUGAGUUUGGUGCUUCUAAGACCAGAGCUGAACUGUGUGUUCACUCACGGUGAAGGGAUGUGUGUGUGUGUGUGUCUCAGAAAUGUUGAUAAUAUCAUCUGUUCAUUGGUGAAUUAGAAGAAUUUCAGACUAGUAGGCAGGUUUUGCUGAUGUUGGAGCAAAAUUUUAGAAAGGGGUGGAAAUUGUCUGAGGGCUGCGGUGCCCUCCUCACAGCCUAGACUUCUGAGAAUGACUCCAAUACAGUUUUUUCAAAAUCAGGGCCAAAGGGUUUAAUGUUGAGAGACAAGAGCAAGUAAAGAAAAAGAGACUUGCAUCAGGAACUGGAAAACAUUAAGGCAGGUUUUUAACAUUUUUUAUUCCCUAAAAUAAACAUAUUGCCUAACUCAGCCUUCUUGUUAUCUUUCCUAUUGAAGCCAGUUCCUUCUUUCUCAGCUUUGUGGGACUACUACUAACUUUUGGGGAGAUCCGAGAUGCUAACUAGAGUUAUCAAAGCUGUAUCUUCCAAAUUAAAACUUGAGACAUGUGUUCCAACACACGUCAGUAUAUUUGCAGGAAUGAUAAGUGAGAGUAUUUAAAAUUAGAGUUUUCUUUGAACAUUCUGGCCACUGAACUUCCCUUUUAGUCUCUGAGCUCCUUGCAUGCAUAAGGUGUCAUGGAUUAUGAUUUCAUGUACGAGCUGUGACUGGUGACAGGAAAUAAGAUCUGGCCUUCAACCCUGUUUUAUGUGAUACAUGCAUUAUUUCAAAAUCCAGGAAAGUGCUCAUAAAUUUCUCCGUUUAUCUAGUUUCUCAUUAAAAAAUCCUAAAAUCUGACAUUGUUGAGUUCACAAGCCAGCAUGGUAACACUUUAUUGGAACUGAGUGGCUGCUGCUUUUUCAUAGAAUACUUUUCCACACUCCUCGCUGCUCCCUAUCGCUUCCCAUUAAGCCUCCUUUUCUUAUUUUCAGGCUCUCCCGGCCUCUCUAGGCAUUUGAAUUUGUGCUCGUUUUUCCGGUCAUACAACCCACUGGUGGUCAAGGUCAGAGAAGGGUUAGAACUCCUUGACCCUUGUCAAUUCAGGUCCCACCUCAUAGGGCUGGUCCUCAGCAUGCUAGUAGACAAAAUGUGACAUUCAAUACCUGAGGUGUUGAGAACCUCAAUGCCUUUGCUUCUUUGAUCAGAAAGGUCCCCAAAGAGGGAGUCAUCAUGGAUGAUUGGGGUCAUUCUCUGAUGAUAUGAAAUGUGAGACACAAACACAUUAUAUUUGUUCAUCACAUUUGGAACUAAUUUUGUAGUCACAGUAAUCAUUUUUAGAAGACUAGAUGGCUGGGUCGGGGGUGGGACUGGGAAAUAGGACAAUUAUUUGACUUCCAUAUAAUCCAUUGAUUAGUUAUGGUGUAAUAAGUAGAUUGGGGCUUCUGACAGUGUUUUGAGAUGGUUCAAUAGAGGAGAAGAAACAGGAGUUCUCAUUGUGACUCAUUGGGUUAAGGACCUGAUGUUUUCUCUUUGAGGAUGUGGGUUCAACCCCUGGCCUCACUCUGUGGGUUAAGAAUCUGGUGUUGCCACAAGCUAUGGCAUAGGUCACAGAUGUGGCUCGGAUCCAGCAUUGCCGUGGCUGUGGAGUAGGCCUGCAGUUGCAGGUCCAGUUCAGCUCCUGGCCCGGGAACUUCCAUAUGCCGCAGGUGCAGCCUUAAAAAAAAAUGGUGGAUAUAUACAUGUUCAGGAUUCAGAAUGGGGUCAGUCCAUCCUCAAGUGUGUGUGAGUAUAUAUGUGAGUUUGUGUGUAUGGGUGUGUGUGAGAGAGAUUGUCUCAGAUGAUUCUUAGAUCUAUUUGCCUGAGAACAAUAUUAUAGACUGUGUCUGUCAUUUCGCUGGGAAAACAUAACUCCCACCUAUAACUCAGGUUUUUAACAAAAUUCUACUGGAAAAUCAAAAUAGAAUUAAUGUGUACCCAGGAGGAUACAUUGGUGUUUGUGAAAGCCAUGACGUCAUUUAAGAGACUUGUAAGUGAGUAGCAGGUCAGUGGGAGCAAAAGUUCAUUCAUUUAUUCCUUUAUCAGCAGAUAUUACUAAGCUCCCACUUUAGGCCAAACCACAUGAAAUUGCCAACUUUGUAGUUUUUAAUCUAUCAAAACAGAAAUCUGAUGUGGUUCAACAUGAAAGUUAGUAAAUGCUACCUUAGAUACUGGGGAUACAAGAGUAAAAUGAGAACAGACAUGCAAAUAGCAGUGCAAGGAAGGGUUAUAAGUGCAGUGAUGGGAACUCGUAGAAAGACUAGGGAAGAGGGGCGUCAGUGUCGGGGUAGGAUUGGUGAAAGCCUUCAAAGUGAAGGCGAUGCUUAAAACGAAUCCUGAAAGAAAUCCCAAUAAUACAGAAACAUUUUUGCAUGUGAUGGAGAGUGUGUGUGGGCGUGGGUGGAGGUAGGGGUCAGCGUUCAGCCCCAAGGGAUGAGUGAAGCUGACACAGGCUGUGAGAUUCAUGGGUUGUGAGCAGCUUGGGCACAGCGCCAAGGUGGGCACUACCACUGCUGGGAAGGCUGGGGGGCUGGGGCCUCACAGACCAGGUUUGAACUUCUCAGGGUUGUCUUAGAGACGAAGAGCCCUGGAGCGUUUCCAGCUGGGCUGGGGCACGAUCUAACCAGUCUCUUAGGAAGGCCUUUACUCUUCUCAGCAUGUAGCGGGGGGGGCAGGUUGUGGACCAGGACCCCUACAGGGGCCACUGAUUGACUCGGACAAGAACCUAGUGCCUUAUUUUAUGGCAGAGGAAGCUGCAGGGGAGAGUCAUAGACUCUGCAGCAUAGAAGGGACUUGGGAGGCCGUUGGUAAUGAACGCAGAAACCUCUGCAGACAAUGCAGCCUUCUUUUUUCUCCUUAGUGUCCGCUCAUAUAAAUUGAGCAUUGCUAUUUCAGCCCUGUGCUAAGGAUCCUAGAUUCAUCUCAUGUUAUCCUCUCACAUCCCCGCAAAGCAGGUAUCAUUAUAUUACAAGUAUUGUGACAAUUCUCAUAUUUCAGGAGAGGAAACUGAGCAACAGAGAUGCUAAGUCAUCUGCCCUAAGUUACCCAGCAAGUAAGCAUUGGAGCUGGAAUCCAGCCCAAGGCAGUGUAGACAUAACAUUGUGCUAGUUGUGAAAUAACAGUGACGAGAAUGAGGACUCUGACUCUCCCUGCCACAUCUUCCGAGUGACCCCCAACCAACUCGCUUUCAGUCCUCCAAAUACAGUUUUCCCCUGCAAGUCUAGACCAGCGAACAGGACCCCAUUCAUACUCUCGCUCACGCACACUUUCACACGUGCACUCACAUCUGCACCUUGGAAGGAACCUGCCCCCAUUCUGACUCCUGAGCUUGUGCACACUCAGAAACACAGCAAAAAGGCAAUAAAAUGUGCUGCUGUUUCUCAAGCAAGUUGCCUGUUCAUAAAAUGGAACGUGAAUGUUGCCAUGACCUAAAUUCCAGGAAUAUUACAUAAAGGAGCCAGAUACCAUUUUGUACAGUGAUUGAUUCUCCUUGGAAGAACGGAAAUGGGUAAUUAUUCAUUGGCAUAGCCUCAGGGAACAUCAGGGGAAUUUUUUAAAAAGGAAAGAAAAUUACCAGCUAGACCCCUUGCUGCCCUUUGUCAAUUACCACCUUACCCCGAGGACCGUGGGAGUUGGUUUCCGGGUGUUCUCAGGGCUGCUCCUGCAGCAAGCGCCUGGUUCUGUCCCUUCCGGAAAGUGUCCAGAAGAUGCUCCUGCAGCGUGGCCUCCCUCCUGACCUCAGCAGAGCACUGACAUCCAGGCCCUGGAGUGUGAUUCCAGACACCCUGGGGUGGAAAAGGGAAGCAGUGGGGAUGUGCAGAUGCUGAAGGAGAACUGCCCUCAGGGGCCUGUGUCCCUCGUCUCUUCCCCCUCCCUCUUCCUAACCCAGACUCGAUCCCUGAUGGAUUGACAGGUGAUUUGAUAGAGAUGUUGUAGGGAAAGAAAAUGUGAAGAACAAAGACACGCCCAGACUGUGAUAACAGGCAAGUCCCUGCGUGUCACUGGUUUAACGCCGAGUUUAUUUUCUUUAAAGAUCAGUUUGAGGUGAAUCCUUUGCAAACAGUGUUCCCUGCGGUGUUUCAGGGCCCCGGGCUCUUUCUAUAUUUCGGUUUCCCCAGCCCCUGGUGCCUCAGCUGUUCACUUCCAGCCAGAGGAUGGAGGACGAGAGAGCACUUGGGAGGUUGCGGGCAAGUUGCCCUGGUCCAGGCCUGCGUGACAGGGUGACCUUGUCUUUCCACCUACACGCCUGUACCCAUAACUGAGCCAGCACGGACCACCUAAAUGCAAGGGCAGCCACUUCUUGACUCUAAACCCCGCUGUGCAGAGCAAAGCCUGCCCCUUAGGCAGGUAGCUGGUAUCUUUGCUACACCUGCCCACAUAUUACCAUAUAGCUAAUGAGCUUGAAAAGUUGUGUUGGAGGGUCCCCGCCCCCCUGUGACCCAGCCAUUUCAAAUGAUCAUCAACAGGCCACACAAUUUACAGCAGAACUCUAGUUUAUCCUGCGCGUCAAACAACUGAAAAGGAACUUUGUGAUUUUGCCGUUAAUUGUGAGAUUGCUAUAUAUUAUUUAUGGUAAACACCACCCUCUGUAUGCUGCUCUGCAGCUCUAAUUCAGCCCCUAGUCCAGGAACUUCCAUGUGCCUCACAUGUGGCC